CCAGCACCUGCGCGGAGGAGAAGCGAGCGUGUGGUCAGGCUUCCGGGGCCGGCGGACCGGCGUCGAGGCCUCGAGAGCCCGGCGUCUGUUUGACCAAAAUCCUACCGCUUCGAAUCCCCACGGAUAUCCCUUAAAGAGCCUUACUUUCAGAAAACACACAUCCCGGCGGAAAUUUGCAAGAUAGAACAUCCCGACGGAGAGCCUCUCCCCUUGGUGGCCUCUCCCUGCCCAAGACACACCCUGUCUGAGAGAACGGCGUCCGCCCGCCCCCACGCUCUGACACACAGACCUCAUCUGCACGGAGAGCUACUAAUCCUGACCCAUGUAUACAACAGAUACAUAGGAUACACUCCGACAGAGAUCCUGGUGCGCACACACUGAUCAGGACACACGGACAUCCUGGCAGAAGUGCUCACCUGAACUCCAGGUUCGGCAGUGGGAACGCAGACACACUUAGAUACUCAGGCCCGCGUGGACCGUUCACAAAGAACACGCAUUUAGCAGAAGAUGCCAGAAUUGUGCUAGUUGCGGGGAGUGCAAGGACAGAAUCCAAGCAGGGGGGACGACCAUCAUGUGUACAAGCAGGGAGACUUUAUUAAUCAUUUAGCAAACAUUUAUGGACUGCUUGGGAUAUGCCAAGCAUUAGGCUAGGCCCUGGGGAAAAAGAGAAAUGCAACGUGGUCUCUCACAUGUCUAAUGAGGAAGACAUCCCAACAAGUAAAUAAUUACAACAGGCACUGUGGUAGAGGUGAGAAGACUUUGCGUUGUGCCCUUCUCCUAUGACAUCAAGCGCAAUCAUCGGUUCAGCUCUCACCUGUCUCUGGGGCAGCACCGUGCUCUGCUGUGGUAGAAGAAGCCUUGGGAGCUAGCAUUGUCUUGUUGUUGCCACUGACAGGCAAGUCCACAGUCACAGGGAGGGACCAGGAUCCCCAGGAGCCAAGGAGGGAAACCCCAUCAGGUUGGCUACGCAGCUGGAGCCAGUAGGAGUUACCAGGCUGGAGCCCGGAGAUGAGGCAGCUUCCACCCAUCACUAUCAGAGAUGGAGCCUUGGAAGAAGAAUCCCAACCUCAAAAUCUGGGUCAGCCUCUCAGCCAAGACAGCCUCCAUCUCUUCUAUUUGAAGCCCCACAGCAUGCCUAUGGAGAAACGCUCAGUUCCUCUGGAUGGAUAUGCACACAGAUGGGGGGCCAGAGAUGAGGAAACUGAGAUGCAGAGAAGUUAACCAUUUGCCCAAGAUCACAUACCUACUAAGAGGUAAAGCUCAGGAGGUCAAGCUUCAGAACCCAAGCGCUUAACAGCCGUGUCAUGCUACUUACUGGAGGUGUAAUCAGCCGGGAAACGACUGUCUGCCUCACAACCAUGACAAAAUGGUGGCUCUUUCCACUUUAAUAGGUUCUGUAACAUGCACGAUGAACACAUUCUCCCUGGGACUGGACGUGUUCCCUCCAUCGCGGGCGGCCUCCACAGCUACCUUUAGUCCUUUGCUACUCAAAGCGUGUUCUGUAGACCAGCAGUAAAAGCAUUACCUGGGAGCCUGUUAGAAAUGCAGACUCUUCGGCCCCGUCCCAGACCUACUGAAACGGAAUCUGCACUUUACCUAAAUCCCCAAAUGAUUUGAAUACACGUAAAAGUUUGAGAA
Non-coding RNA from Equus caballus (horse), 1638 nucleotides. Lineage: Eukaryota; Metazoa; Chordata; Mammalia; Perissodactyla; Equidae. The record is from RefSeq and is a predicted model, not a curated record.